CCCCUAAAAAAUCUGCAGGUUAGAGACAAUGCAUUUCUUCUUAGUUGCAUUACAUGAUCUUACAUCAUGAGUUAGCUCAAGUUUAACCAUGAACCUCAAGCUAUUCUGCAUGCGGUUGUUUAUUAUUCCAGAAUGAUGCUGCAUCAUUGAAUGAGUAUUAUGUAUGUAACUUUGCUUCGGUACACCCCCCUAGAAAAGUUUUUGGAUUUCGAUACUGAUUAAAGGUGAAGAUUAGAUGAUACCCCUUCAAUCAAAAAGGAUAAUAUAAUAUUUUGUAUUCAAGUCAAUCUAUUUAAUACGUUUAAUCUGCAGGCUAAUAUGGCGAUAGCCUUUUUAACUAACAUUAAGAUUCAUGCAAACUUUUAGGGUGGUUGUACCGAAGCAAAACUCAAUACUUGUUCCAAAAUUAAAAUAAAACAUCUACAUACAGUGUGUACUCCAUUAGAAACAAACAGCUUGUCACAGUACAGCAGGCUGAUAAGGCAAGCAAUAGCAAAACCAUCUUAAGGUGGAUAGGAAAACAUGCAUAAGCUGAAGCUUUUUGGUUCUAAACUAUAAGAUCGAGAACAAUCACGUAUGAGUUUUACUUCGGUACAUGAUGAUAGUUAUCCAUUGUUAUUGUAAUUACUUGUCCUCUUUCAGGUUUCAGCACCGUUAACUCUUUUGCUUUAAAUUAUGCCAUGCUGAAAUGCUCCUCAUUGUUUUGCUUUCCAUAUUUCAAGAUGCAGAAUUGCCCGGCCUGUGAAGUUCUUAGACAGUUUCUAUGUCAGUGAUGAAAAGCUUCAGAAGGGUGUCUUGGUAAUUACAUCCUGAAGAGUGAUUGGCGCCGUGCUGCAAAAGAAGUGCUUUUCUUCUUCCCUAGUGGAAGUUCUAUCCUAGUACUUUUGUAUGAGCUUUGCCAGUUUAUCUAUAAGGGUGGUCUGUUCCCUUUUGUCAUAUUGUUUCUGUUUGGAACAACUUGUUGAGCUCUAUCUUAUAGGACUAAUGCAUCGUAUGGAUUUGAAAAAAAAUUAAAGGUUUAAAUUCCUGUGAUUUUCUGGGCCUGGAGCUCCCUAAUUGGUUGGCGAUAGCAAAAUCUAUCCUGUUGGACUUUGUCUUGUGAAGUUCAUUGCAAAAUGUGCUCUAUUUAUUGCUGCUUGUUAAUUGUGCUGGAGAAAUGUCUGGACAUGAAAAAUAGAUGUAAUAUUAUCAUGAUGCUUCUCUUAAAUGUCUCACAAAUAUGUCCCUUAUUG
RNAcentral lists this long non-coding RNA (1232 nucleotides) under Triticum aestivum (bread wheat). RNAcentral describes it as "long non-coding RNA (TAES_LNC018480)". Lineage: Eukaryota; Viridiplantae; Streptophyta; Magnoliopsida; Poales; Poaceae. The record is from RNAcentral.